GCCAUAUCUUCAUGAGUCUCGGCAUCUGCAUGCAUUAAAUCGGGUUAGGGGUUCCGGUGGACGCUUUCUCAGCACAAAAAGGCUCCAACAGUCUAAUCCAACUUCCACCGGUAACGUGCAUGUCAUCCCAGAUACCAUCCAGUUGCAUCAAAGGAAUGAGACAUCAGAACUUGAAAGUUAUCGUUCAAGAACUGGCCAAUCUGGCACUUCAAGCACGACCUGCUCUGGUAUCACCAAUGUCUCUAGUGGUGCCGCCAUUUUUAGGCAGGCAGAUCACAGGUUCUCAAGCCUGGCUACCCACAUGGGAGGAAGCAUGCAAACCAGUGGGGGUCUUGUGUGCAGUGGGACCUAGCAUUGUGCUUCCAGUUGUCCGGAUACCAUGGUACCGGGCGGGCAAUUCAUCCUUGGCUUUGUGUAUCACUUGCUAUGUUAUUACCUUUUGUUACAAAAGGUGCAUCAAUGACUGAAUUGUGGUGUUUGCUUUCUACAAGUAUUGUGUUUGUUUUAACGUUACUGAAGAGGGUUGCUUUUUGGAUCGCACACUGGCGGUGGUGAUCCAUCACUUAACUUGGUUACUUUUAAAUGUUAAAUGUUCCGACUGUGCAAGUGUUUGCUUGUUGACGUCAUAUGUUAAAAUAAAAAUGUGUAAAUUGCU
Molecule: unclassified non-coding RNA, 655 nt
Filed under: Hevea brasiliensis (rubber tree)
Lineage: Eukaryota; Viridiplantae; Streptophyta; Magnoliopsida; Malpighiales; Euphorbiaceae
Source: RNAcentral